Molecule: small RNA, 684 nt
Filed under: Pan troglodytes (chimpanzee)
Lineage: Eukaryota; Metazoa; Chordata; Mammalia; Primates; Hominidae
Description: processed transcript
Source: RNAcentral
UUCUCGUCAGGCUCCUGCAGCCCCAGGCAUGAACCAAGGUUUCUGAACUACUGGGCGGGAGCCAACGUCUCUUCUUUCUCCUGCUCCAGCGGAGGCUUUGUCGCUGCGGGCUGGGCCCCAGGGUGCCCCCCAUGGCGGGGCCGCGGGUGGAGGUCGAUGGCAGCAUCAUGGAAGGGGGCGGCCAGAUCCUGAGAGUCUCUACGGCCUUGAGCUGUCUCCUAGGCCUCCCCUUGCGGGUGCACAAGAUCCGAGCCGGCCGGAGCACGCCAGGCCUGAGCUGGGCAUGCCACUAGUUGAGCUUCAGGUACAUGCACCUGCUAGAAGAGGACCCAGGUUUGAAGCCACGCUGAUUGUUUUGCCUCAACAUUUAUCUGGACUGGAAAUGAUUCGAGAUUUGUGUGAUGGGCAACUGGAGGGGGCAGAAAUUGGCUCAACAGAAAUAACCUUUACACCAGAGAAGAUCAAAGGUGGAAUCCACACAGCAGAUACCAAGACAGCAGGGAGUGUGUGCCUCUUGAUGCAGGUCUCAAUGCCGUGUGUUCUCUUUGCUGCUUCUCCAUCAGAACUUCAUUUGAAAGGUGGAACUAAUGCUGAAAUGGCACCACAGAUCGAUUAUACAGAGAUGGUCUUCAAGCCAAUUGUUGAAAAAUUUGGUUUCAUAUUUAAUUGUGACAUUAAAACAAG